UUGCUCAGCAAACCAACGUCUGUCCGGAGUGGGGAUUAUUUGGGCAAUGCGCAAUGCCAGUAAGUCCAUAAGAUGGUGGUAAGUCCUUCACGGGAUAACGAAAGAGCUGCGAGAGCUGCCUCAUCUACUCUGCCAACGAGGAAAUUGCAGUGCUCCGGAUUUCGGUGGUACGGAUUCUAGCCAGCAAAGUCUCCGGAUGCAGAUGCUCCAUUCCGCUGCCGUUAACCAUCCACCCGGAAGAGAUCGCCAAUAAGGUACCAACACUCCAUUUGGAUAGCGAUCUGGUUCGAGCGGAGAGUAUGGAAGCCGAUGUCGAGGAAUCGGGCGUAGAGGGCGUAGAAUUUUCAGGGGCCAGGAUUCAUACAACGCCUACGAGAUGUGUUAACAUCAGCAGCAAAGGUUUACGCUUUCUUCCCGGAGCACAGUAGCAGUAACGCUGGACAAAGGCCAUACUAGCCGGAAAUGAGUGAUCUUCAUGGAAGAGAAACUGGGCGGAAUGACAGAUCUAUGCAAUAUAUUUGCGCUUUGCGGCAUGGCUCCGGAAGCGAGAACCAACGUUGUUUGUGAGAAAUAUUGGCGAGCUGCCAAUCACGCAUGAGUUUCGACACGGUGAACAACAUGAAGCGGAAGUGGCUGUAUAAGUACUUUUUCCCAGUUCCUGUCUGCAAGCUGAGCCGAUUUUGUUCUGGCAAGAAAUCACGCACGUUAAAAUAGAUGACAUUCGAAAAGCUCCAAGAUCGAUAAAGGACUAUCAGGAUCACAUUACGUUGGAGCGUCAUCUAUCCUUCAAGAAUAUUACCCAUAACUUGGAAAUAGUGUUGCUGCGGCAUCGCAACAAGAAGAACGGCAUCGAACCGGAUUAUGACCAGUACGAGACGUGGAUAUGUGAGAGGCGCUUCAUAGAGGGAUGACAAAGAAAAAUUAACGCUUGAAACGCGUCACACAUUCC
This is a long non-coding RNA of Armigeres subalbatus, 949 nucleotides long. RefSeq lists it as uncharacterized. The transcript is spliced from 3 exons. NCBI's taxonomy places the organism in Eukaryota, Metazoa, Arthropoda, Insecta, Diptera, Culicidae. The record is from RefSeq and is a predicted model, not a curated record.